UUUGAUCAUGGCUCAAGACGAACGCUGGCGGCAUGCCUAAUACAUGCAAGUCGAGCGGACUUUUAAAAGCUUGCUUUUGAAAGUUAGCGGCGGACGGGUGAGUAACACGUGGGCAACCUGCCUGUAAGACUGGGAUAACUUCGGGAAACCGGAGCUAAUACCGGAUAAUUCUUUUCCUCUCAUGAGGGAAAGCUGAAAGAUGGCAUUACGCUAUCACUUACAGAUGGGCCCGCGGCGCAUUAGCUAGUUGGUGAGGUAACGGCUCACCAAGGCGACGAUGCGUAGCCGACCUGAGAGGGUGAUCGGCCACACUGGGACUGAGACACGGCCCAGACUCCUACGGGAGGCAGCAGUAGGGAAUCUUCCGCAAUGGACGAAAGUCUGACGGAGCAACGCCACGUGAGUGAUGAAGGUUUUCGGAUCGUAAAACUCUGUUGUUAGGGAAGAACAAGUACCGUUCGAAUAGGGCGGUACCUUGACGGUACCUAACCAGAAAGCCACGGCUAACUACGUGCCAGCAGCCGCGGUAAUACUUAGGUG
RNAcentral lists this ribosomal RNA (540 nucleotides) under uncultured soil bacterium. RNAcentral describes it as "bacterial SSU rRNA". It matches the Rfam family "Bacterial small subunit ribosomal RNA", at positions 12 to 533 of the family's 1533-position model. The record is from RNAcentral.